RNAcentral lists this long non-coding RNA (270 nucleotides) under Dromaius novaehollandiae (emu). Its description in RNAcentral is "lncRNA (ENSDNVG00000013647.1)". Lineage: Eukaryota; Metazoa; Chordata; Aves; Casuariiformes; Dromaiidae. The record is from RNAcentral.
GCAGCAGCUCUUUGAUUCUCCUUUGCUCUAGGGUGUCGCAAAGCUCUGUUUACCACCUCUGCCCCCAGCCUCUGUAAAGCCUCUGCUGGCUCCUAGAGAGGUGAAGCCCAAUCCACCCAGCAAGCCUCUCCCGGCGCUGAAGAGCAAGGAGCUCGCCCGGCCCCGCUGUGCCGCAGGAGACGCACCAUUGCCGCCAGCUCCUCCUGCCAAGCCCGCAGCCCUGUCGUCCCAGGCCCGUCCAGACCCCGCCGUGCCCCAGGUGAGCUGCAC